Astatotilapia calliptera (eastern happy) is the source of this 671-nucleotide long non-coding RNA. The record is from Ensembl. Lineage: Eukaryota; Metazoa; Chordata; Actinopteri; Cichliformes; Cichlidae.
CAAAUUACAAACAUACGAUUUCAAGUGUUUUUUGAGGAUCUGUGUUUGUUCGUCAGAAAGUCUGCACGCUACUCAGCUACUUUGAAGAGAAGGAGGAGUCCAUGCUUCUCUGUGUUGAAGAUACAUGUCUGGCAGAUGAGGUACAACUGGAGCAAGUGCCUCUGACACCCACUAUUAUCAUGUGUGGACAGUCCUGCUAUUCCUCAAGAAGAUACAUGCUGAGUGUUGAUCGGCACCUCGUCAGCACAAACAUAUCCUCCUUCAUUUCUGCACUGUGCCUCAUGUUCGGGAGCUACUACAAUUUCAACAUCCAUUAUCCAUCUGAGCUGGCUUCCACUUUAGAGUUUCUUCAGAGGUGAACAAAUAUGGCUUUGUUAUUUCUCAUAACUGAGACUCUGGGAUCUGGAGUCUGGCUUUGAUGUGGUUCGAGUCCAGGUCUGGCUCUGAGUCUCGGUCGGCUUUGGAGCCGGUUUCAGUUGUUUUUUCUGUUUUUUGUUGUUGUUUUUUUUGUUUGUUUGGUUUUUUUAAAUACAUUAACAGUCUGAAUCUGGGUCCAAGCCUGGCCGAGACUCAGGGCUAGACCAAGCGUCAACUGACGUCUGACUACCUAUAACCUUUGCUUUGGAUUUUAACAAUGCUAAAGUGUGACAUAUCACUGCAGAAGACACUCG